RNAcentral lists this non-coding RNA (26 nucleotides) under Rattus norvegicus (Norway rat). The record is from RNAcentral. Lineage: Eukaryota; Metazoa; Chordata; Mammalia; Rodentia; Muridae.
UGACCAAGGCCUGAGGCCAGUUGGUA